Molecule: unclassified non-coding RNA, 1165 nt
Filed under: Hevea brasiliensis (rubber tree)
Lineage: Eukaryota; Viridiplantae; Streptophyta; Magnoliopsida; Malpighiales; Euphorbiaceae
Source: RNAcentral
AUCACUUUAAUGUGAAUAGAAUUGUAGGCCAAGGUGGCCAAGGCACUGUUUAUAAAGGAAUGUUGGUGGACGGAAAAAUUAUUGCAGUUAAAAAGUCCAAGAUAGUAGAUGAAGCAAAACUUGAAGAAUUCAUUAAUGAAGUUGUCAUUUUAUCACAAAUUAAUCACAGGAAUGUGGUAAAACUACUUGGAUGUUGCUUGGAGACAGAGGUUCCACUGCUUGUCUAUGAAUUCAUCUCCAACGGAACACUUCAUAGGUAUCUUCAUGACCCAAAUGAGGAAUUUCAAUUAUCUUGGGAAAUGCGUUUACAAAUUGCCAUAAAAAUUUCCGGAGCUCUUUCUUAUUUGCAUUCUGCAGCUGCUGUGCCAAUUUUUCAUCGGGACAUUAAGUCAAAAAACAUACUCUUAGAUGAAAAGUACGGGGCAAAAGUAUCAGAUUUUGGAAUUUCAAGAUCCAUUGCCCUUGGCCAGACUCACCUUACCACCAAUGUACAGGGCACCUUUGGAUACUUGGAUCCACAAUAUUUUCAAACAAGCAAAUUUACAGAGAAAAGUGAUGUUUAUAGCUUUGGAGUAGUGCUUGUUGAGCUCCUGACCGGCCAAGAACCAAUUUAUUCUGCGAUGUCUCAAGAAAUCGUUGGUUUAGCCUCACAUUUUAUUCAUAUGAUGGAAAAUAAUAAACUCUUGGAGAUGCUUGACCCUCGAAUCAUGGAGCAUUGCGUGAAAGAAGAAGUCAUGGUUGUUGCUAACCUUGCAAAAAGAUGCUUGAAUUUCCAGGGAAAGAAACGACCUACAAUGAAACAGGUGACAAUGGAGUUGGAGGCGAUCUGGUUUUGUCAACAAGAUUUGAAUGCUGCCCAAAUACAUUGGGAAGAAACUAAAUUUGCUGAAGCUGCUUCUUCAACACGGUCAAGUUUUGGUACCAUUGGUAAUUCAUCAAUUGAUACUCAACCAUCAGUUUCUAAUAGUUGGUAAUUAUAUAAGAACGUCCCACAAGAAUUCGUUUCCAACUUUUGUAGCUAUAGGUUUUUCUGUUAAUAGUUAUUUGAAACUUCCAAAGAAAAAGGUAAAAUUUUUUCCUCACUUCAUUUGUUUAAUUAUUUAUGCAUUUGUUUGUUGUUUUAUGAAUCAGUUUGGUCUGCAAUAUAUACAUACUCUUCUUUAAA